UACGUAGGUGGCAAGCGUUGUCCGGAUUCAUUGGGCGUAAAGGGCGCGUAGGCUGCGGGGCAAGUCGGGUGUGAAAUCUCAGAGCUCAACUCUGAAACUGCACUCGAUACUGCUUUGCUUGAGGACUGGAGAGGAGAUUGGAAUUCACGGUGUAGCAGUGAAAUGCGUAGAUAUCGUGAGGAAGACCAGUGGCGAAGGCGGAUCUCUGGACAGUUCCUGACGCUGAGGCGCGAAGGCCAGGGGAGCAAACGGG
This 253-nucleotide ribosomal RNA is filed under the name uncultured bacterium. RNAcentral describes it as "partial 16S ribosomal RNA". It matches the Rfam family "Bacterial small subunit ribosomal RNA", at positions 524 to 776 of the family's 1533-position model. The record is from RNAcentral.